GCUGGCGGCGUGCCUAAUACAUGCAAGUCGAGCGAACAGAUAAGGAGCUUGCUCCUUUGACGUUAGCGGCGGACGGGUGAGUAACACGUGGGUAACCUACCUAUAAGACUGGGAUAACUUCGGGAAACCGGAGCUAAUACCGGAUAACAUUUGGAACCGCAUGGUUCUAAAGUGAAAGAUGGUUUUGCUAUCACUUAUAGAUGGACCCGCGCCGUAUUAGCUAGUUGGUAAGGUAACGGCUUACCAAGGCGACGAUACGUAGCCGACCUGAGAGGGUGAUCGGCCACACUGGAACUGAGACACGGUCCAGACUCCUACGGGAGGCAGCAGUAGGGAAUCUUCCGCAAUGGGCG
RNAcentral lists this ribosomal RNA (353 nucleotides) under Staphylococcus saprophyticus. RNAcentral's name for it is "bacterial SSU rRNA". It matches the Rfam family "Bacterial small subunit ribosomal RNA", at positions 35 to 377 of the family's 1533-position model. The record is from RNAcentral. Lineage: Bacteria; Bacillati; Bacillota; Bacilli; Caryophanales; Staphylococcaceae.